UGGGACCUACGGGGCGCAGCAGUGGGGAAUAUUGGGCAAUGGGCGCAAGCCUGACCCAGCAACGCCGCGUGAAGGAAGAAGGCUUUCGGGUUGUAAACUUCUUUUCUUGGGGACGAAGAAAGUGACGGUACCCAAGGAAUAAGCCACGGCUAACUACGUGCCAGCAGCCGCGGUAAUACGUAGGUGGCAAGCGUUAUCCGGAUUUACUGGGUGUAAAGGGCGUGUAGGCGGGCCUGCAAGUCAGAAGUGAAAUCUGGGGGCUUAACCCCUAAACUGCUUUUGAAACUGUGGGUCUUGAGUGAUGG
This 305-nucleotide ribosomal RNA is filed under the name uncultured bacterium. RNAcentral describes it as "bacterial SSU rRNA". It matches the Rfam family "Bacterial small subunit ribosomal RNA", at positions 333 to 652 of the family's 1533-position model. The record is from RNAcentral.